RNAcentral lists this unclassified non-coding RNA (229 nucleotides) under plant metagenome. Its description in RNAcentral is "partial contains small subunit ribosomal RNA, internal transcribed spacer 1, and 5.8S ribosomal RNA". The record is from RNAcentral.
UCUCCGUAGGUGAACCUGCGGAGGGAUCAUUACAGAGUUCUCGCCCUCGCGGGUAGAUCUCCCACCCACUGUUAUCGUUACUGUGUUGCUUUGGCGGGCCGCCGGGCCCCGCUCGGCCGCCGGCUCCGGCUGGCGCGCGCUCGCCAGAGGCCCAGCAAACUCUGAAUGUUAGUGUCGUCUGAGUACUAUAUAAUAGUUAAAACUUUCAACAACGGAUCUCUUGGUUCUG